UGGGGAAUAUUGGACAAUGGGCGAAAGCCUGAUCCAACCAUGCCGCGUGUGUGAAGAAGGUCUUCGGAUUGUAAAGCACUUUAAGUUGGGAGGAAGGGCAGUAAGCGAAUACCUUGCUGUUUUGACGUUACCGACAGAAUAAGCACCGGCUAACUCUGUGCCAGCAGCCGCGGUAAUACAGAGGGUGCAAGCGUUAAUCGGAAUUACUGGGCGUAAAGCGCGCGUAGGUGGUUCGUUAAGUUGAAUGUGAAAGCCCCGGGCUCAACCUGGGAACUGCAUCCAAAACUGGCGAGCUAGAGUAGGGCAGAGGGUGGUGGAAUUUCCUGUGUAGCGGAGAAAUGCGUAGAUAUAGGAAGGAACACCAGUGGCGAAGGCGACCACCUGGGCUCAUACUGACACUGAGGUGCGAAAGCGUGGGGAGCAAACAGG
Molecule: ribosomal RNA, 429 nt
Filed under: Pseudomonadota bacterium
Lineage: Bacteria; Pseudomonadati; Pseudomonadota
Description: Proteobacteria bacterium partial 16S ribosomal RNA
Rfam family: Bacterial small subunit ribosomal RNA
Source: RNAcentral